RNAcentral lists this ribosomal RNA (459 nucleotides) under uncultured bacterium. Its description in RNAcentral is "partial 16S ribosomal RNA". It matches the Rfam family "Bacterial small subunit ribosomal RNA", at positions 339 to 795 of the family's 1533-position model. The record is from RNAcentral.
CUACGGGCCGCAGCAGUGAGGAAUAUUGCGCAAUGGACGAAAGUCUGACGCAGCCAUGCCGCGUGCAGGAUGACGGCGCUAUGCGUUGUAAACUGCUUUUAUAGGCCAAGAAACCUUCGGACGUGUCCGAAGCUGACGGUAGCAUAUGAAUAAGCACCGGCUAACUCCGUGCCAGCAGCCGCGGUAAUACGGAGGGUGCAAGCGUUAUCCGGAUUUAUUGGGUUUAAAGGGUCCGUAGGCGGAUCAUUAAGUCAGUGGUGAAAGCCGGCAGCUCAACUGUCGAACUGCCAUUGAUACUGGUGAUCUCGAAUGCGGUUGAAGUUGGCGGAAUAGGUCAUGUAGCGGUGAAAUGCUUAGAUAUGACCUAGAACACCGAUUGCGAAGGCAGCCAACUAAGCCGUUAUUGACGCUGAGGGACGAAAGCGUGGAGAGCGAACAGGAUUAGAUACCCCUGUAGUC